RNAcentral lists this unclassified non-coding RNA (599 nucleotides) under Hevea brasiliensis (rubber tree). Lineage: Eukaryota; Viridiplantae; Streptophyta; Magnoliopsida; Malpighiales; Euphorbiaceae. The record is from RNAcentral.
AAAAUAAUUAAGAAAUUAAAACCUCUUAUAAUUUACGUAUCAUAUGAGGCUUCUUGUCAAUAUGUAUUUAUAUAAGAUUUUAUAUAAUUGUUUUACAUAUAUAAAAGCAAAAUUCACGGAUUUAGAAAUUGAAUUUUCCAAUAUUACUAAAAUUUAACAUUUCAUCAUUACUUUUUAAUAAAGUUCGACCAUUGUUGUUCCCUUAAGAGUUCUCUUUUUAAUAGUUAGGCUCUCUCAAAUUUGACCUUGCCAGUGUUACUAUAUUAUUUUUGGGUUAGUAAUUAACUUUUAUAGGAACCGUAAUAAGUUGAAUUUUUGCAGAUAAUUAAUUGAACUCUAAUAAAAUAAAUUUAAAUAAUGUAUAAUUGGGUUUGAGAUCAUUUCAAAUUAGAAUAAUAAUAUUCGUAAUUUUCUCUAAAAUGAAAUCUUAAAUUUUCUCAUCUUUUGAUAUGGCUCUCACUCUCUUCCCACUUAAAUAACAGCAAAUAGCUCUUUGGUCCAAUGGAUCAUGACAAGUCACAUAUGAUAUAAUUCAUCUAGCAGACCUAUAUUCGAAUCCUCAGUCUCCCACUCUUAUAAUAAUAAUAAUAAAUAAAUAA